RNAcentral lists this ribosomal RNA (468 nucleotides) under uncultured bacterium. RNAcentral describes it as "partial 16S ribosomal RNA". It matches the Rfam family "Bacterial small subunit ribosomal RNA", at positions 28 to 507 of the family's 1533-position model. The record is from RNAcentral.
GACGAACGCUGGCGGCGUGCUUAACACAUGCAAGUCGAACGGAAAGGCCCUGCUUUUGUGGGGUGCUCGAGUGGCGAACGGGUGAGUAACACGUGAGUAACCUGCCCUUGACUUUGGGAUAACUUCAGGAAACUGGGGCUAAUACCGGAUAGGAGCUCCUGCUGCAUGGUGGGGGUUGGAAAGUUUCGGCGGUUGGGGAUGGACUCGCGGCUUAUCAGCUUGUUGGUGGGGUAGUGGCUUACCAAGGCUUUGACGGGUAGCCGGCCGGAGAGGGUGACCGGCCACAUUGGGAGUGAGAUACGGCCCAGACUCCUACGGGAGGCAGCAGUGGGGAAUAUUGCACAAUGGGCGGAAGCCUGAUGCAGCAACGCCGCGUGCGGGAUGACGGCCUUCGGGUUGUAAACCGCUUUCGCCUGUGACGAAGCGUGAGUGACGGUAAUGGGUAAAGAAGCACCGGCUAACUACGUG